UACGGAGGGAGCUAGCGUUGUUCGGAAUUACUGGGCGUAAAGCGCACGUAGGCGGCUUUGUAAGUUAGAGGUGAAAGCCCGGGGCUCAACUCCGGAACUGCCUUUAAGACUGCAUCGCUUGAAUCCGGGAGAGGUGAGUGGAAUUCCGAGUGUAGAGGUGAAAUUCGUAGAUAUUCGGAAGAACACCAGUGGCGAAGGCGGCUCACUGGACCGGUAUUGACGCUGAGGUGCGAAAGCGUGGGUAGCAAACAGG
RNAcentral lists this ribosomal RNA (253 nucleotides) under uncultured bacterium. Its description in RNAcentral is "partial 16S ribosomal RNA". It matches the Rfam family "Bacterial small subunit ribosomal RNA", at positions 524 to 776 of the family's 1533-position model. The record is from RNAcentral.